This 1315-nucleotide long non-coding RNA is filed under the name Felis catus (domestic cat). RNAcentral describes it as "lncRNA (ENSFCAG00000041484.2)". The record is from RNAcentral. Lineage: Eukaryota; Metazoa; Chordata; Mammalia; Carnivora; Felidae.
AUGCUCUAUCUCUGUUCAUCUACCAGCAGGUGUCAGUGUGUUCAUCAAACAGAUGAGACGCUUACAGCUCAGAGGUGUGAAGCUACUCACCCAGAGCCACACAGCUCUAAGGGAGGAGGUUCUGCUCAGAUCUGCCCGGGAGGCAGCAGGAGGAGCACAGGUGGGCCACCGGCUACCCAGGACCCUCAGGCUCCCACAGGGUGGCCCCCUGAAGGCAGGCGGAUUGCUGGAGCUGACGAAGUCCUGGAAGACUUUCCCUCAUGGCUGUGCUUCCCCGUCCUUCUUGCUCUAAUGAGCAGCUGCCCCUCUCCACCAUCCCCUGCAGAAGUCGAUGUGGGAGCGUCCACAAGUGAGAAGAGCCCACCUGUCAAGCCCCAGCCUGAACAUAAGGUGAAGGUGCGUUCAGUGAGCCAGAGAACUUGCCUGCAGCGAACCUCCAGCACCACACGCAGGAGGUGCUGCAGGAGGGCUCACCUUUGGAGGCAAUGUCACCUUCUGACUGUACUCUCCAGAGACUUCCAACCGCACCACACAGUGCCUCUCAUCUUUCCCGUUUUCUUCCUGUAAUAUUCUCCGACAGAGUCAGGUAAACCUGGCACUCACUCGCAGGAAUUUCCAUAGAGCCCCUGGGCAGAGAAAAGAAGCAGUGCUCUGCUGAGACCUUCCUCUGGACCGCGUCUGGUUUCUCGAGAACCACACUAUCACUGGGGUGUAGAGGAACAAGGGACCUGGGGAAGGUCCCCUGGGCAUCAGGAGGCUCAUCUCACAGUGGCUGAGCUCCCACGGCCAUCACAUGACACCAUUUGCGAGUAGAUGAUGUAAAUGGUUUCAACACACAAGGUUUUUUGGGAGUCACCCCAGCCCAUUGGCCCUAUUGUAUGCACGGCAUUCUCCGCCCUUCCCCCCAGCCUUUAUUGAAGGAGCUACGGGGUGGUCAGCACGUUUGAGACUUUAAAUCUGAGAUCUAGUCUUUCAUGAAUUCAUGGCAUGUCUGCCAAGUCAAAUGCAAAACUGUCCACAUGCACAUCCACUUGACUUUGACCAGACUAGACUAUUCACUGCUCCCUAAACUUGCUCUAUGCUUUGCUGCCUCUGUGGUGGCUCCCAGGGAGGGAGAAGAGUUGUGUCUGAGUCUCUGCUCCAGCCCACGAACCCGAUGCCGUCCUGUGACUCCCGGUGAGUCCCUCAGGCCCAACUCUUAUCCCUUCUUGGCACACCUCCCCCUGCCUUUCUAUCGAUAUCCCCCCUUUUUUCCUAUAGUGGAUGAAGUACAAUAUCAAAUAAAGUGUGCACAACACAGGGGUGUUUGUAGGAA